ACGAACUACUACUCUAUUUUGUAAAAUUUUUUAGAAGUAAACAAAGCCUAUACAUACUACAUAUAGUAUAAUGAAAACAUUGGGUACCACACAAACCCAGACUCAAGCCUGUUCCCUCCGUCGUACAGUUUCCACGGACGCGAAGGUUGUUUUUGGCGCGAGAUUGCUCAUACUGGCGAUGGCUACAGAACCAUGACGAUAGAAUCUUUUUAUAUAAAAAAUGACGACAGAAAAUAGUUAGGGUUUGUUUAGAUCCAAUUUUUUUUUUAGAUUUUGACACCGUAACAUUUUUGUUUUUAUUUGAUAAACAUUGUCCAAUUAUAGAGUAACUAGGCUUAAAAGAUUCAUCUUGCGAUUUACAGAUAAACUAUGUAAUUAGUUUUUAUUUUCAUCUAUAUUUAAUGCUCUAUGCAUGUGCUGCAAGAUUCGAUAUGAUGGAGAAUCUUUUAAAGUUUUGAAUCUUUUUUUGUUAAACAACGCCUUAAAAGCUGCAGCCAUACUAGGCCUUAUUUAGAUGCAAAAAGAUUUUGGAUUUCGCUACUGUAGCACUUUCGUUUGUUUGUGGCAA
RNAcentral lists this long non-coding RNA (568 nucleotides) under Sorghum bicolor (sorghum). RNAcentral's name for it is "long non-coding RNA (SBIC_LNC000245)". The record is from RNAcentral. Lineage: Eukaryota; Viridiplantae; Streptophyta; Magnoliopsida; Poales; Poaceae.